UAGGCCCCACAGGGGGUUGCCUUCAGUAGCGGCGAGUGAAGCGGCAAGAGCUCAGAUUUGAAAUCGUGCUUUGCGGCACGAGUUGUGAUUGCAGGUUGGAGUCUGUGUGGAAGGCGGUGUCCAAGUCCCUUGGAACAGGGCGCCCAGGAGGGUGAGAGCCCCGUGGGAUGCCGGCGGAAGCAGUGAGGCCCUUCUGACGAGUCGAGUUGUUUGGGAAU
Molecule: ribosomal RNA, 218 nt
Filed under: Pichia kudriavzevii
Lineage: Eukaryota; Fungi; Ascomycota; Pichiomycetes; Pichiales; Pichiaceae
Description: partial 26S ribosomal RNA
Rfam family: Eukaryotic large subunit ribosomal RNA
Source: RNAcentral